This 643-nucleotide ribosomal RNA is filed under the name uncultured bacterium. Its description in RNAcentral is "bacterial SSU rRNA". It matches the Rfam family "Bacterial small subunit ribosomal RNA", at positions 232 to 885 of the family's 1533-position model. The record is from RNAcentral.
CGCGGCCUAUCAGCUUGUUGGUGAGGUAGUGGCUCACCAAGGCGACGACGGGUAGCCGGCCUGAGAGGGUGACCGGCCACACUGGGACUGAGACACGGCCCAGACUCCUACGGGAGGCAGCAGUGGGGAAUAUCGCACAAUGGGCGCAAGCCUGAUGCAGCGACGCCGCGUGAGGGAUGACGGCCUUCGGGUUGUAAACCUCUUUCAGUAGGGAAGAAGCGAAAGUGACGGUACCUGCAGAAGAAGCGCCGGCUAACUACGUGCCAGCAGCCGCGGUAAUACGUAGGGCGCAAGCGUUAUCCGGAUUUAUUGGGCGUAAAGAGCUCGUAGGCGGCUUGUCGCGUCUGCCGUGAAAGUCCGGGGCUUAACCCCGGAUCUGCGGUGGGUACGGGCAGACUAGAGUGAUGUAGGGGAGACUGGAAUUCCUGGUGUAGCGGUGAAAUGCGCAGAUAUCAGGAGGAACACCGAUGGCGAAGGCAGGUCUCUGGGCAUUAACUGACGCUGAGGAGCGAAAGCAUGGGGAGCGAACAGGAUUAGAUACCCUGGUAGUCCAUGCCGUAAACGUUGGGCACUAGGUGUGGGGAACAUUCCACGUUUUCCGCGCCGUAGCUAACGCAUUAAGUGCCCCGCCUGGGGAGUACGG